UACGGGGGGAGCAAGCGUUGUUCGGAUUUACUGGGCGUAAAGGGCUCGUAGGUGGCCAACUAAGUCAGACGUGAAAUCCCUCGGCUUAACCGGGGAACUGCGUCUGAUACUGGAUGGCUUGAGUUUGGGAGAGGGACGCGGAAUUCCAGGUGUAGCGGUGAAAUGCGUAGAUAUCUGGAGGAACACCGGUGGCGAAGGCGGCGUCCUGGACAGUUCCUGACGCUGAGGCACGAAGGCCAGGGGAGCAAACGGG
Molecule: ribosomal RNA, 253 nt
Filed under: uncultured bacterium
Lineage: Bacteria
Description: partial 16S ribosomal RNA
Rfam family: Bacterial small subunit ribosomal RNA
Source: RNAcentral